This 366-nucleotide RNase P RNA is filed under the name Deltaproteobacteria bacterium. RNAcentral's name for it is "RNase P RNA component class A". It matches the Rfam family "Bacterial RNase P class A". Rfam says of the family: Ribonuclease P (RNase P) is a ubiquitous endoribonuclease, found in archaea, bacteria and eukarya as well as chloroplasts and mitochondria. Its best characterised activity is the generation of mature 5'-ends of tRNAs by cleaving the 5'-leader elements of precursor-tRNAs. Cellular RNase Ps are ribonucleoproteins. Lineage: Bacteria; Pseudomonadati; Myxococcota; Myxococcia. The record is from RNAcentral.
AGAGCCGCCCGGGCGGACGCCGGCCCCUUUGAGGGCGGGAGGAAAGUCCGGGCUCCACAGGGCAGGGUGCUGGUUAACGGCCAGCCGAGGCGACUCGCGGGAAAGCGCCACAGAAAACAAACCGCCGGCGAAAGCCGGUAAGGGUGAAACGGUGCGGUAAGAGCGCACCGCGCUCCUGGCGACAGGGGCGGCACGGCAAGCCCCACCCGGAGAAAGAGCACAUAGGGGAGCAAUGCGGUGGCCCGCCGCGCUCCCGGGUAGCUCGCUGGAGGCCGGCAGCAAUGCCGGUCCUAGAGGAAUGUCCGCCUCCGCCGGGGAGGUAACGACCCGGCGAGACAGGACCCGGCUUACAGGGCGGCUCUGACC